RNAcentral lists this ribosomal RNA (222 nucleotides) under uncultured bacterium. RNAcentral describes it as "partial 16S ribosomal RNA". It matches the Rfam family "Bacterial small subunit ribosomal RNA", at positions 328 to 539 of the family's 1533-position model. The record is from RNAcentral.
ACGCUCGACACCUACGGGGGCAGCAGUAGGGAAUUUUCGUCAAUGGGGGAAACCCUGAACGAGCAAUGCCGCGUGAGUGAAGAAGGUCUUCGGAUCGUAAAGCUCUGUUGUAAGUGAAGAACGGCUCAUAGAGGAAAUGCUAUGGGAGUGACGGUAGCUUACCAGAAAGCCACGGCUAACUACGUGCCGGCAGCCGCGGUAAUCUGAGCGGGCUGGCAAGGC